Molecule: long non-coding RNA, 185 nt
Organism: Sander lucioperca (pikeperch)
Lineage: Eukaryota; Metazoa; Chordata; Actinopteri; Perciformes; Percidae
Exons: 4
Source: RefSeq, a predicted model, not a curated record
UGCAACACUACCAAGCCACGGCCGAGCGGCUUGCGUGUAGUUACAUUUUUCGAGAGGUGCACGUCAGGCUACGGCGUAGGGUCCGGCGUAGACGCAGAGUGGUCUGCAGGGGUGCGCCGUCGAUUCUACGCACAACCAUAAAAUGGCCUUUAGAAACUGGAGACAGUGCUCCAAACAAAGCUUGC